Long non-coding RNA from Anthonomus grandis grandis, 1201 nucleotides. RefSeq lists it as uncharacterized. The record is from RefSeq and is a predicted model, not a curated record. NCBI's taxonomy places the organism in Eukaryota, Metazoa, Arthropoda, Insecta, Coleoptera, Curculionidae. The transcript is spliced from 4 exons.
GACUAUUCCACCCCGCCACAUUCAACCUUCAUACCGAUGCCUGACACAGUCUUACUAUGACAGGUUAUAGUAAAAUACCGCGUUAGUGUCAAAGUGCUUAAGGUGUAAGUUAAGCGAGUACGAUAUUUUUAUUUGGCCAAGAAAGGAAGGAAGACAUUGGUAUGAAGCCUUUCUCAAGCGACAUCCUUGUAUAUUGCAAAGAAUUAUAGAAUUAUUCGCAAAUAUGUAAUAAUAAACGCUCAUCGCCUUCAGAACUAACAGACGAAACUAAUGAUGAAUAUUCAAAAGAUGUUAUUAUUAUAAGUGAAUCUGGGAAAGUUACAUCGCAAGGUACUAUGAGCAUAUAAAACCAAACAGCAAGAAGAAAACGCGUAAAAGAGAUGUAAUUCUAAAUGAACGAGUCAAACUCCUAACUCAAGAUAAUGCAAAUCAUGAGAUGAAUCAGGAAAAUUCAGAAAGCGAUACCUCUACAUUAGAUUCAAAUGACUCUACAGAUGAUUCACAAUCCUUGAUCUUCUACAACAUUUAUAAAAGAAAUUAUCACGGAAAUUUCGGAAGAUGCAAGUUCGAAUACGCCUUCUCGAAAUGAAAUCCUAGAAGUCGAUAAAUCUAUUAAACCAAAAUUCGAUCUAAAAAUUCGACCAGUUGAGGAGAAUGAAGGAUCAUUAGUAAAUAUGGAAGAAAUGGGACAGAAGGAACAGUCACUAAUACCAAAACUUCCAACACCAACAGAAAAAAAAUAUUGAAAAAAAUUCUGCUUUAAGUUUUGAGUCAACAAAAACUGAGGAAAUGAAUGCAGACGACCCUUCAAUUCCAAGUCCGUUCAAAUCUGCACUUUUUUAGCCUGGAUCUUCUAACCCACAAAAGUUGUAAACAAAGUAAAAAUUCCGGCAGUGGCAGCGUCAGAAAAAUGGCUGGAAUUCUACCGGAAGAAAGAAGCAGUUAAAGCAAAAGAACUUGAAGAAAAGGAAGAAAGAAAACGAAAAAGAAUAGAAAAUGCCAAAAUAAAUAAAAAUAAAAAGGAAGAAAAAGCUGCAAAAAGGCAAAAGAGUGCUCAGCUUGCAGAAAAGGAAAAUGAACAUCAGGAGAAAGAAAACUGGUCUUGUAAACUUUGCGAAGAAGAUUCUCUGGAAAGGUAGAAGAUUCUCUGUAAUCCACGAAAAAUGUCUAGGGGCAUCAAAGCAAAAACAACCAAAAAAAU